CCUUCAAGAAUGACCAUGAUUCUCAAGCACCAAUUCUCACUUCUGGCAGCGGGUAUGAUGACUGGUGAUUGCUCCAGUUACUCUUAUUGACAUCACUAUUAUCACAAUUAUUAUUAUUGGUGAUGCUAUUGACGGCGUGAUAAACAUUACUUUGAUUUCCUUUCAUUAUCGUCGUCUUUUUCACCAUUAUCAUCUUCACUACUGCUUAUAGUAAUGGUAAAGUCCUAGUCGUAGAAGGUGUAGGAGUAAGUGUACUAUGAAUACUGCCUCAUUAUCAUCCAACAUUUUUGGAUUAAAUCAGUGAAUGAAAAUGUUAUUCGUAUCGAUUAGUACCAUUAGUAAUUGAUAUCUCCUUUUCAUGAAGUGUACUCAGAUUUAAACUAAAAGAAGAGUUACCAUCAUCUUGUGCAUCGACUUGGAGAGCCGACACGCAGACAAACAAUCCAAAUAGCGCUCCUGAAAAAAGGGAUUCUUGUGGCGAUGAUGGUCCUCUGUUUGGUGGUUCUCCACGCCAGCGCUGACGAAGACGGUCCGAAUUGCACGAAACGUCACCAAAUAAGCGAAUAUGAUCUUCGGCAUCUUUAAAG
Penaeus monodon (black tiger shrimp) is the source of this 587-nucleotide long non-coding RNA. RefSeq lists it as uncharacterized. The record is from RefSeq and is a predicted model, not a curated record. NCBI's taxonomy places the organism in Eukaryota, Metazoa, Arthropoda, Malacostraca, Decapoda, Penaeidae. The transcript is spliced from 3 exons.